GUCUAAACUAACCCUCAUGGUCUAUGGAGGCCAGUUCGAGAGCUGAGGGAGUAGAGUUCCUGGUGGAGGAAAUCAAUAUGGGAGUAUCCAGGGGCCACACAAAGAAGUCUAGCUCAAGGAAGUUGGAAACACUGGGGAGGACCGUGCAGAAAAACGAGUCACAAGACUGGAGCAGCUCAUCACCGCUUUUGGGAACACCUCUAAACUGACCUGCAGUCCUCUAACGGAUCCUUCCAUAAUCGUCUUCCAUGCUGAGAGCAAAGCGGUCCUGCUGGGCCGACUGGUACCAAGUUGGGUCCCUGACUGGUUUCCUUCAGUACUUCACAAUCCCUGGCAGCAUAAAUUUCCGUUUCCUCACAAGGCCACCUAAGCUCUUACAGGAGCUCAUGUAUAGGAAGGUUUAAAC
Neogale vison (American mink) is the source of this 406-nucleotide long non-coding RNA. RefSeq lists it as uncharacterized. The record is from RefSeq and is a predicted model, not a curated record. NCBI's taxonomy places the organism in Eukaryota, Metazoa, Chordata, Mammalia, Carnivora, Mustelidae. The transcript has 3 exons.